CAGGAGGGACCACCCUCCCAGGCUAAAUACUCGCUAGUGACCAAUAGCGUAUAAUACCGUUAGGGAAAGGUGAAAAGAGCCCCGGGUGGGGAGUGAAAUAGAUCCUGAAACCUUGCACUUCCUAGCUGUGUAAGGACAUAUCUUGUGUGACCCAGUACUUUUUGUAGAAAAAGCCAACGAUUUAUGUUAAGUAUCAAGGUUAAGCUCUUAAAGUG
RNAcentral lists this ribosomal RNA (215 nucleotides) under Clostridioides difficile. Its description in RNAcentral is "partial 23S ribosomal RNA". It matches the Rfam family "Bacterial large subunit ribosomal RNA", at positions 444 to 662 of the family's 2925-position model. The record is from RNAcentral. Lineage: Bacteria; Bacillati; Bacillota; Clostridia; Peptostreptococcales; Peptostreptococcaceae.